Molecule: long non-coding RNA, 955 nt
Organism: Rhagoletis pomonella (apple maggot)
Lineage: Eukaryota; Metazoa; Arthropoda; Insecta; Diptera; Tephritidae
Exons: 3
Source: RefSeq, a predicted model, not a curated record
CUCUCUCAUUCCUUGCCAUUCAUUUCAGUAGUGCAGUGUGAUUUUUCUCGUGUGUGGUAAUGAUGAAAAUUUUGUAAUUUUUUAGAAAAAAUAUAGAAAAUUUAGUCAAAUUAGUAAGAAAUAUGUGCUAAACUAAAAAUAACCGAAAGCGUUUGUAAGCAAAGUGCCACGAAUGUGUAAUAUGCUUAUGUGUACCAGGCAUGUAUAUAGUAAGGACUCUUUCCAAAAGCUAGAGAUAAAAAAGGUUGUUGGCUCCUGCGCUAGAAAGUAAAGACAACGCUAUUCUCCGAACUAAUUUGAAACGGCUGCAAUUAAAAAGAAUAGAAAGCGAUAAAACUGCUGCGAAAGUGACCAUAGCGGAAUAAUGUUCCUUAUACAUUAGAUACGAUUACAUGCAUCUAUGCUUGUACAAAUUAAUGAAUGAUCGGCGCAAUAUACCCAACAUAUGCACCAAACGGAACUUACAAACUUAUGUAGUACUUUGAAAGGCGACUUUACACGGCGCCAAUAGAACAGCAAAUGCUUCUACAUACAUAGCUCGUCAAAUAGCAAUAUAUAUACCAUAGAUCUGCAGGGAUUCUUAAAAAAGGAUUAAUUUUAAGCCAAACAAAAACAACAUUCGCCUAAUGGCACUACAACUAAAUACCAAUAAUCAACGCGAGUUUCCUUAAGCUUUUGAUUUGCGCCCCUAAAGAAGCUAAGGAAGUUAGCCAAACGUCGGGCAAAAAGUGAAGGAAACUGUGUUUUCACUUGCACUUGCACCAGUUAGAUCAACCAAAGCCUUUACAAGCAACAACAUAAAUAGUUUUCUCAUUGAAUCUAAUGAGUUGACGGGUACUGUAAGUUCUACCUGUUUAGAGCGAUCUAUUUUGUCAACCGUGCAUAAACGUUUUCUAUGUUUUAAAGCAAGUCGUAAGAUAAUCUAAUUAAAGAAAUAUCGAUAUGUUCCUACAGC